CAUUCUGGAAAGAAAUAUUUUCAAUUUUAUACAAUGAAAUAUUAAUGUAUAUGUACUAGCACACUACUUUUUAUAGUUUGCCAUAGUAUUUAAAACAUAAAUGAAAUGUGUCAGUGAUUUUGUGAAGACAUUCAAAUUGUAUGCACAUAUAAUAAACAGUUAUACUUGUGUAAAUAAACAGAAUGACUUAAUAAUUCGGCAUCAAAUUUUGUGACAGCUACUCCAUAGAAGAAUUAAGCAAGAGGUAAGACACAUCCUGAAAAAAAGUAUUUAACUGUCAUGCUUGUCUUCAUGUACAUGAUGGAAAACACACAUUUUUGCGAAUGUGAUGUCCUCUAAAAAAUCCACAGCAGAUCAAGUCAGAGAUUCCAACAUAAGACCAUACUCUGCAUGGCUGUGUACUGUCAAUAUUCUACAUGAAUAGAACUCACACUGUGUUAAUUACCUUGUAGUCCUCAGCAACAAUGUUUUGUUCCUCCAAUUCCAGUUUUCCCACUUGUUGCAUAAGAACUACUAAGUUGUUGUAAUGCUUUGCCACAUUGUCUCCACUGCAGGGACUACAGAACACAACUGUGGCACUGAGAAGCACCUCAUCCAUCUGGUUCAGGUCUUGCCAUUCUUUUUUGUCAAUAAAAAAGAAACAUGGCUCCUGUGGCAAACUACAUCUAAAGAAUUUAUCUUCUGCCUCACUGCUCUCUGUAGAAAUAUCGUAGACAAUAUGGCACAGUCACUAUAUUAAACCUUCUGAAUGAACUGACAGACAAAUUACCAAGGAAGACUUUCGCUCUCCACAAGGUCUGUUCUCAACAUCA
Molecule: long non-coding RNA, 812 nt
Organism: Onychostoma macrolepis
Lineage: Eukaryota; Metazoa; Chordata; Actinopteri; Cypriniformes; Cyprinidae
Exons: 3
Source: RefSeq, a predicted model, not a curated record